This 253-nucleotide ribosomal RNA is filed under the name uncultured bacterium. Its description in RNAcentral is "partial 16S ribosomal RNA". It matches the Rfam family "Bacterial small subunit ribosomal RNA", at positions 524 to 776 of the family's 1533-position model. The record is from RNAcentral.
UACGUAGGGUGCAAGCGUUGUCCGGAUUUAUUGGGCGUAAAGAGCGUGUAGGCGGUUUGGUAGGUCCGCUGUGAAAACUCGAGGCUCAACUUCGAGACGCCGGUGGAAACCAUCAGACUAGAGUCCGGAAGAGGAGAGUGGAAUUCCUGGUGUAGCGGUGAAAUGCGCAGAUAUCAGGAAGAACACCAGUGGCUAAGGCGGCUCUCUAGUACGGUACUGACGCUGAGACGCGAAAGCGUGGGGAGCGAACAGG